GUCUUUUCCUAUGCCAGUAUCACACUUUCUUGUCUACUGCAGUUGUGUAUGUGUAGAAAGUUCUGAAAUUAGGACAUGUGAGUGCUUCAACUUUGUUGCUUUUUAAGAUCAUUUUGGCCAAUCUGAGUCCUGGGUCUUUUAAAUUUCCAUAAGAAUUUUUAGCAUUAGCUUGUCAUUCUCUGCCAGAAGAAAAAAAAAGCCACAUGACAUUUUGACAAAUAUUUCAUUAAAUCAUAGAUUAAUUUGGGGAAUACUGCAAUCCUAACAAUACCAUAUCAAUAUAAACUACUUUUACAUUUAAGUCUGAUUUAAUAUAUUUCAAAAAGUUUCAUGGUUUUAAUUGUAUAGUCUGGCAUUUCUUAUGUUAAAUUAUUAUUAAUAAUUUUAUCCCUUUUGAUGCUAUUAUAAAUUAAAUUUUUUCUUAAUUUUCUCCCUUAGAAAUCCAUGUCUUGGCCGGGCACGGUGGCUCACAACUAUAAUCCCAGCACUUUGGGAGGCCGAGGGGACAUGGAUGAAGCUGGAAAGCAUCACCCUCAGCAAACUAACUCAGGGACAGAAAACCAAACACCGCAUGCUCUCACUCGGGAACAACAGGUUUGAAUACUGAUGAAGUGGAACUUCAGAGUCACGGUGUGCAUUGAACCGGAGCGAGGCAGAAAAAUACAGCAGACUCAUGACCAAACAGAAAGUGCCCCAGCCUGUUGACGCAGCAUAUAUUCUGAGCCCAACCAAUACCCCUCGCUUUCAGACCUUCAGACGUGGACUGGAAUCUCUGCCAUUGACUCUCCAGCUCUCAGGCCUUGGAACUAUACCACGGGAUUUCCAGUUUACAGAUGGCAGAUCAUGGGAACACCUUGACCUCCAUGAUUGUGCAAGCCAAUACAUUCGUUCUGUUGCUUCUGUUUCUCUGAAGAAUCCCAGUUAAUCCAUAACAUAUUAUUUAAGCCUUAGAAACCAGGUAGGUCUAAGCAUUUCUUAAAGUGUUCAGUGAAACUCUAUUAAAAGAUGGUCAAAUAAAUAAAUAAAUAAAAAUAUAAUCCAGAUUUUGU
Molecule: long non-coding RNA, 1049 nt
Filed under: Callithrix jacchus (white-tufted-ear marmoset)
Lineage: Eukaryota; Metazoa; Chordata; Mammalia; Primates; Cebidae
Description: lncRNA (ENSCJAG00000078040.1)
Source: RNAcentral